CGGGGUGAGUAAUGUCUGGGAAACUGCCCGAUGAGGGGGAGUAACUACUGGAAACGGUAGCUAAUAUCGCAUAAUGUCUGCGGACCAAAGAGGGGGACCUUCGGGCCUCUUGCCAUCGGAUGUGCCCAGAUGGGAUUAGCUAGUAGGUGGGGUAACGGCUCACCUAGGCGACGAUCCCUAGCUGGUCUGAGAGGAUGACCAGCCACACUGGAACUGAGACACGGCCCAG
RNAcentral lists this ribosomal RNA (229 nucleotides) under uncultured bacterium. RNAcentral's name for it is "partial 16S ribosomal RNA". It matches the Rfam family "Bacterial small subunit ribosomal RNA", at positions 104 to 334 of the family's 1533-position model. The record is from RNAcentral.